This 433-nucleotide unclassified non-coding RNA is filed under the name soil metagenome. Its description in RNAcentral is "partial contains 5.8S ribosomal RNA, internal transcribed spacer 2, and large subunit ribosomal RNA". The stretch from base 1 to 120 matches the Rfam family "5.8S ribosomal RNA", at positions 35 to 154 of the family's 154-position model. The record is from RNAcentral.
GAUGAAGAACGUAGCGAAAUGCGAUACGUAAUGUGAAUUGCAGAAUUCAGUGAAUCAUCGAAUCUUUGAACGCAUAUUGCGCUCUCUGGUAUUCCGGAGAGCAUGCUUGUUUGAGUAUCAGUAAACACCUCAACUCCCCUUUCUUUUUUUGAAAUGGGAGCUGGACUUGAGUGAUCCCAACGCUUUUCUCACCGAAAAGUGGCGGGUUACUUGAAAUGCAGGUGCAGCUGGACUUUUCUCUGAGCUAAAAGCAUAUCUAUUUAGUCUGCCUAAGAAACAGAUUAUUACCUUUGCUGCAGCUAACAUAAAGGAGAUUAGUUCUUGUGCUGACUGAUGCAGGAUUCACAGAGACAGCUUCGGCUGGCCUUUGUAAACUCGAUCUCAAAUCAAGUAAGACUACCCGCUGAACUUAAGCAUAUCAAUAAGCGGAGGA